This 518-nucleotide ribosomal RNA is filed under the name uncultured Acidobacteriota bacterium. RNAcentral describes it as "bacterial SSU rRNA". It matches the Rfam family "Bacterial small subunit ribosomal RNA", at positions 13 to 513 of the family's 1533-position model. Lineage: Bacteria; Pseudomonadati; Acidobacteriota. The record is from RNAcentral.
UUGAUCCUGGCUCAGAAUCAACGCUGGCGGCGUGCCUCAGACAUGCAAGUCGAACGAGAAGCCCCCUUCGGGGGGUGGAGAGUGGCGCACGGGUGAGUAUCACGUGGGUAAUUUACCUUUGGGUGGGGAACAACAGCCGGAAACGGCUGUUAAUACCGCAUAAUGCAGCGGCUCGACAUCGAGACAGUUGUUAAAGCGGUGGAUCGCAAGACCUCGCGCCUAAAGAGAAGCCCGCGGCAGAUUAGCUAGUUGGUAGGGUAAUGGCCUACCAAGGCAACGAUCUGUAACCGGCCUGAGAGUGCGGUCGGUCACACUGACACUGACAUACGGGUCAGACUCCUACGGGAGGUAGUAGUCGGGAAUUUUGGGCAAUGGGCGAAAGCCUGACCCAGCAACGCCUCGUGAAGGAUGAAGCUUUUCGGAGUGUAAACUUCACAAGAAUGGGAAGAUUAAGUGUGGGAUAAUACCCCGCACGAUGACGGUACCAUUUGUAAGCUCCUGCUAACUCCGUGCCAGUU